This 306-nucleotide ribosomal RNA is filed under the name Salmonella enterica subsp. enterica serovar Typhimurium. RNAcentral's name for it is "partial 23S ribosomal RNA". It matches the Rfam family "Bacterial large subunit ribosomal RNA", at positions 1918 to 2223 of the family's 2925-position model. The record is from RNAcentral. Lineage: Bacteria; Pseudomonadati; Pseudomonadota; Gammaproteobacteria; Enterobacterales; Enterobacteriaceae.
CCCCGGUAAACGGCGGCCGUAACUAUAACGGUCCUAAGGUAGCGAAAUUCCUUGUCGGGUAAGUUCCGACCUGCACGAAUGGCGUAAUGAUGGCCAGGCUGUCUCCACCCGAGACUCAGUGAAAUUGAACUCGCUGUGAAGAUGCAGUGUACCCGCGGCAAGACGGAAAGACCCCGUGAACCUUUACUAUAGCUUGACACUGAACAUUGAGCCUUGAUGUGUAGGAUAGGUGGGAGGCUUUGAAGUGUGGACGCCAGUCUGCAUGGAGCCGACCUUGAAAUACCACCCUUUAAUGUUUGAUGUUCU